UACGUAGGUGGCAAGCGUUGUCCGGAAUUACUGGGUGUAAAGGGCGUGUAGACGGGUGUGCAAGUCAGAUGUGAAAUUCCAGGGCUCAACCCUGGCGCUGCAUCUGAAACUGUGCAUCUUGAGUGUUGGAGAGGAAAGCGGAAUUCCUAGUGUAGCGGUGAAAUGCGUAGAUAUUAGGAGGAACACCAGUGGCGAAGGCGGCUUUCUGGACAAUAACUGACGUUGAGGCGCGAAAGCGUGGGGAGCAAACAGGAUUAGAUACCCUGGUAGUCCACGCCGUAAACGAUGGAUACUAGGUGUGGGAGGUAUCGACCCCUUCCGUGCCGGAGUAAACACAAUAAGUAUCCCACCUGGGGAGUACGGCCGCAAGGUUGAA
Molecule: ribosomal RNA, 376 nt
Filed under: uncultured bacterium
Lineage: Bacteria
Description: bacterial SSU rRNA
Rfam family: Bacterial small subunit ribosomal RNA
Source: RNAcentral